CGGGGUGUAGCUCAGCUUGGUACGAGUGCUUGCUUGGGGUGCAAGAGGUCGCUGGUUCAAAUCCAGUCACUCCGACCA
This 78-nucleotide transfer RNA is filed under the name Herbivorax alkaliphila. Its description in RNAcentral is "tRNA-Pro". It matches the Rfam family "tRNA". Rfam says of the family: Transfer RNA (tRNA) molecules are approximately 80 nucleotides in length. Their secondary structure includes four short double-helical elements and three loops (D, anti-codon, and T loops). Lineage: Bacteria; Bacillati; Bacillota; Clostridia; Acetivibrionales; Acetivibrionaceae. The record is from RNAcentral.